RNAcentral lists this ribosomal RNA (446 nucleotides) under uncultured bacterium. Its description in RNAcentral is "partial 16S ribosomal RNA". It matches the Rfam family "Bacterial small subunit ribosomal RNA", at positions 338 to 795 of the family's 1533-position model. The record is from RNAcentral.
CCUACGGGUGACAGCAGUCGAGAAUCAUUCACAAUGGGGGAAACCCUGAUGGUGCGACGCCGCGUGGGGGAAUGAAGGUCUUCGGAUUGUAAACCCCUGUCAUGUGGGAGCACAAUAACAAGAUAAUCCCAAAAGAGGAAGACACGGCCAAACCUGUGCCCGCAGCCGCGGUAAUACAGAGGUCCCAAGCGUUGUUCGGAAUCACUGGGCGUAAAGCGUGCGUAGGCUGUUUCGUAAGUCGUGUGUGAAAGGCGCGGGCUCAACCCGCGGACGGCACAUGAAACUGGGAGACUUGAGUAAUGGAGGGGGAACCGGAAUUCUCGGUGUAGCAGUGAAAUGCGUAGAUAUCGAGAGGAACACUCGUGGCGAAGGCGGGUUCCUGGACAUUAACUGACGCUGAGGCACGAAGGCCAGGGGAGCGAAAGGGAUUAGAUACCCCUGUAGUC